UCUUCCGUAGUAUAGUGGUCAGUAUGCAAGCUUGUCACGCUUGAGACCCGGGUUCAAUUCCCGGCGG
This 67-nucleotide transfer RNA is filed under the name Trichoderma harzianum. RNAcentral's name for it is "Hypocrea lixii tRNA". It matches the Rfam family "tRNA". From Rfam's summary of the family: Transfer RNA (tRNA) molecules are approximately 80 nucleotides in length. Their secondary structure includes four short double-helical elements and three loops (D, anti-codon, and T loops). Further hydrogen bonds mediate the characteristic L-shaped molecular structure. tRNAs have two regions of fundamental functional importance: the anti-codon, which is responsible for specific mRNA codon recognition, and the 3' end, to which the tRNAs corresponding amino acid is attached (by aminoacyl-tRNA synthetases). tRNAs cope with the degeneracy of the genetic code in two manners: having more than one tRNA (with a specific anti-codon) for a particular amino acid; and 'wobble' base-pairing, i.e. permitting non-standard base-pairing at the 3rd anti-codon position. Lineage: Eukaryota; Fungi; Ascomycota; Sordariomycetes; Hypocreales; Hypocreaceae. The record is from Rfam by way of RNAcentral.